UUGUUUUACAUUAAAAUAGAUUAUUUUAAUUAAUAUUUUUAUUUUAUUUUAUUAUUCAAAAAAAAAAAGAAGAAAGAGAGAGGAAUGGAAAAACUGGUACAAAAGCUUUGCAAGGUCUUGAAAGGCAUUCGGGGGAAGAAUGUUUGUCGAGGCUUCGCGACUGUUGUCACGGGCUCGAUGAUAGUUCCGGGUCAUGAUAAUAUAUAUGCUAUAGAUAUGUUUUUAUAUGCUAUAGAAAGGGGUAUGAAAAUAAUGUGUGAUUACAUUGAAUAUUGAGAAAACUUGAUUAUUGUCAAUGUGUUCAAUUUAAUGUACAAUGUGGCAUGAGUGAAUUUUCCUUGUGGCAGUAAAAACCCCUUAGAUUUUAUCUGGCCAGAAUUUUGCUAUAGCGAGA
Molecule: long non-coding RNA, 394 nt
Filed under: Theobroma cacao (cacao)
Lineage: Eukaryota; Viridiplantae; Streptophyta; Magnoliopsida; Malvales; Malvaceae
Description: long non-coding RNA (TCAC_LNC006405)
Source: RNAcentral